This 254-nucleotide ribosomal RNA is filed under the name uncultured bacterium. RNAcentral's name for it is "partial 16S ribosomal RNA". It matches the Rfam family "Bacterial small subunit ribosomal RNA", at positions 524 to 776 of the family's 1533-position model. The record is from RNAcentral.
UACGUAGGGUGCGAGCGUUGUCCGGAAUUAUUGGGCGUAAAGAGCUCGUAGGCGGUGUGUCACGUCGGCCGUGAAAACCUGGGGCUUAACUCUGGGCGUGCGGUCGAUACGGGCAUGACUGGAGUUCGGUAGGGGAGACUGGAAUUCCUGGUGUAGCGGUGAAAUGCGCAGAUAUCAGGAGGAACACCGGUGGCGAAGGCGGGUCUCUGGGCCGAUACUGACGCUGAGGAGCGAAAGCGUGGGGAGCGAACAGG